This 253-nucleotide ribosomal RNA is filed under the name uncultured bacterium. RNAcentral describes it as "partial 16S ribosomal RNA". It matches the Rfam family "Bacterial small subunit ribosomal RNA", at positions 524 to 776 of the family's 1533-position model. The record is from RNAcentral.
UACGAGCGGCCCAAACGUUAUUCGGAAUUACUGGGCUUAAAGAGUUCGUAGGCGGCGCAGAAAGUAGGGUGUGAAAGCCCUCGGCUCAACCGAGGAAUUGCGCUCUAAACUACUGUGCUUGAGGAACCUAGAGGUGAGCAGAACAGAUGGUGGAGCGGUGAAAUGCGUUGAUAUCAUCUGGAAUACCGGAGGCGAAGGCGGCUCACUGGGGGUUUUCUGACGCUGAGGAACGAAAGCCAGGGUAGCGAACGGG